CCCUUAGAUGUUCUGGGCUGCACGCGCGCUACACUGAUGCACUCAACGAGUUUACGACCUUGCCCGAUAGGGUUGGGUAAUCUUUUUAAAAUGCAUCGUGAUGGGGAUAGAUUAUUGCAAUUAUUAAUCUUCAACGAGGAAUUCCUAGUAAGCGCAAGUCAUCAGCUUGCGUUGAUUACGUCCCUGCCCUUUGUACACACCGCCCGUCGCUCCUACCGAUUGAAUGGUCCGGUGAAGCGUUCGGACCGUGGCCUUUGGACGGUUCGCCGUCUGUUGGCUGCGGGAAGUUCGUUAAACCUUAUCAUUUAGAGGAAGGAGAANUCGUANCA
Molecule: ribosomal RNA, 329 nt
Filed under: uncultured eukaryote
Lineage: Eukaryota
Description: partial 18S ribosomal RNA
Rfam family: Eukaryotic small subunit ribosomal RNA
Source: RNAcentral